RNAcentral lists this ribosomal RNA (465 nucleotides) under uncultured bacterium. RNAcentral's name for it is "partial 16S ribosomal RNA". It matches the Rfam family "Bacterial small subunit ribosomal RNA", at positions 28 to 507 of the family's 1533-position model. The record is from RNAcentral.
GACGAACGCUGGCGGCGUGCUUAACACAUGCAAGUCGAACGGAAAGGCCCUGCUUGCAGGGUACUCGAGUGGCGAACGGGUGAGUAACACGUGGGUGAUCUGCCCUGCACUUCGGGAUAAGCCUGGGAAACUGGGUCUAAUACCGGAUAGGAGCCAUUUUUAGUGUGAUGGUUGGAAAGUUUUUUCGGUGUAGGAUGAGCUCGCGGCCUAUCAGCUUGUUGGUGGGGUAAUGGCCUACCAAGGCGGCGACGGGUAGCCGGCCUGAGAGGGUGGACGGCCACAGUGGGACUGGGAUACGGCCCAGACUCCUACGGGAGGCAGCAGUGGGGAAUAUUGCACAAUGGGCGCAAGCCUGAUGCAGCGACGCCGCGUGGGGGAUGACGGCCUUCGGGUUGUAAACGCCUUUCGCUAGGGACGAAGCUUUUUGUGACGGUACCUAGAGAAGAAGCACCGGCUAACUACGUG